AUGGCUGACCCGAGACCGUUCACCAACGUUGAUCCUGCGACGGCGGCCGAAUCGCGGCGCAAUGGCUGUGACCCGCACGAGGUGGACCAAUUCGUGGAGCACGUGCUAGCGUACAUCUACAUCCUCGUCCCCCGCCCGCCGUUCACCGACAACGGCCGGCUCACGCCCUCGCCGCCUCCAUCAACGGCCAGCCUCCCCGACGAGCUCCUGCGCAACAUCGUCACUCGCCUCCCUGUCAAGGACGCCGCGCGCACCGCCGUGCUCUCCACCUGCUGGCGCACGCUCUGGCGCUCCACGCCCCUCGUCCUCAACGACGCCCACCUCAUCCCCGACAGCCACGUCUAGCGUCCUACGCGCGCCAACUCGCCGGCCGUCACCGCGGCCGUGUCCCGCAUCCUCGAAGCGCACCCGGGGCCCUUCCGCUGCGUCGACCUCGUCUGCAGCCACAUGAAUGCCUACCUUGCCCAGCUCGCGCGGUGGAUCCACCUCCUCGCCGCCAAGGGCGUCCAAGAUCUCGUCCUCGUCAAUUGACCAUGGCCGCAAGACGUGCCCCUCCCCGCCACUCUCUUCAGCGUCAGCACCCUCACCAGCCUCUACAUCGGCUUCUGGAAAUUGCCGAGCACGGACGUCCUGCGCGGUGCCCCCUUUCCCCACCUUGUCGAGCUCGGCAUAUGCAGCGUUGAAAUGGAGCACGACGCCAUCGAGUCCCUCGUCGCCAGGAGCCCUGUCCUGGAGAUCCUCAAUAUUGAGGGAUGGCGCACGGAGCUGUGUCUACGCCUCGUCAGCCAGAGCCUACGCUGCGUGCAAAUCUGUAGCUCGGUUAUGGAGAGCAUCACCAUGGCAAAGGCUCCAUGCCUCGAGCGGCUUAUCCCCUCUGGCAGAGUCGGUCGUGGUGCCUUCAGAGUCAGGAUUGUCGAUGCCCCCAAGCUGCACACGUUUGGAUUCUUAGAACCAGGACAGGUCCUAGAGGUUGGGAAAACUGCCAUCAUGCCCGGGAUAAAGGCAAGCACAAGUACCAUGCUCACAACCGUGAAAAUUCUGAGCUUGAAUGUGCGUUUCGGGGUUCGCAGUGAUGUCAAGAUGGUUCCCACCUUCCUCAAAUGCUUUCCCAACAUGGAGAGACUGCACAUUAUGAGCAAAAGAUGCGAUCAACCCACUGGUAACCACCUCACCCGCAAGUUCUGGGAGGAGUCUGGUCCCAUCGAAAAUGCCGUCUUGCGCAUCCACACGAUGUGCCUCCGCGAGUUCCGAGGGGACACUGGUGAGGUUGGCUUCCUGGAGUUCUUCGGUAGCGCGCGCUCGCUGCGGUCCGCGUUCAUCGUGAUGGCCAAUCCACGCUUCACACCGUACUCGACGAAGGAGGCGGUGGCCAAGGUGAGACACAGCUGCGGAAACAUGGCAUCUGAGUCCAGCUACCAGUUUGUGGUUGUGAACCAGGGACAACCAGGGGGUGCUCCCUGGAACUUCAAAACCGGGGCGGAUUUCUCUUUCCCUGACCCGUUUUCGUUCGACGCGGGGGUCUUCCAAGCUUAG
RNAcentral lists this ribosomal RNA (1533 nucleotides) under Triticum aestivum (bread wheat). Its description in RNAcentral is "partial small subunit ribosomal RNA". Lineage: Eukaryota; Viridiplantae; Streptophyta; Magnoliopsida; Poales; Poaceae. The record is from RNAcentral.